RNAcentral lists this ribosomal RNA (1082 nucleotides) under uncultured Rhizaria. RNAcentral's name for it is "SSU rRNA". It matches the Rfam family "Eukaryotic small subunit ribosomal RNA", at positions 577 to 1674 of the family's 1831-position model. The record is from RNAcentral.
CGGUAAUUCCAGCUCCAAUAGCGUAUACUAAAGUUGUUGCAGUUAAAAAGCUCGUAGUUGGAUUUCUGCGGGGACGGAGCGGCCGGACGCAACUUGCGUCUCGAGCUAGCGCUUUCCCCACAUCCUGCCGCGAACCGUGCUACCAUUAGCUUGGUGGCGCUGGGGAUCGGCUCGAUUACUUUGAGAAAAAUAGAGUGUUCAAAGCAGGCCACACGCCUUGAAUAAGUUAGCAUGGAAUAAUGACUAAGGACUUCGGUUCUAUUUUGUUGGUGUUCGGGACUGAAGUAAUGAUUGAUAGGGACAGUUGGGGCGGUCUGUAUUCCAAAGCGAGAGGUGAAAUUCUUAGACCUUCGGAAGACAAACAGCUGCGAAAGCGUUCCGCAAGGAUGUUCCCUUUGAUCAAGAACGAAAGUUGGGGGAUCGAAGACGAUCAGAUACCGUCGUAGUCUCAACUAUAAACUAUACCAGCUAGGGAUCGGUCAACGUUUAACUUUAUCGACUUGGUCGGCACCUUAUGAGAAAUCAAAGCAUCUGGGUUCCGGGGGGAGUAUGGUCGCAAGGCUGAAACUUAAAGGAAUUGACGGAAGGGCACCACCAGGCGUGGAGCCUGUGGCUUAAUUUGACUCAACACGGGAAAACUUACCAGGUCCAGACAUAGGAAGGAUUGACAGAUUGAUAGCUCUUUCUUGAUUCUGUGGGUGGUGGUGCAUGGCCGUUUUUAGUCGGUGAAGUGAUUUGUCUGCUUAAUUGCGUUAACGGACGAGACCCCAGCCUGCUAAAUAGCGCGGCCGAGCUUUGCUCGGUACGAGCUUCUUAGAGGGACCAUGAUGCGCGAUAGCACAAGGAAGUUUGGGGCAACAACAGGUCUGUGAUGCCCUCAGAUGUUCUGGGCCGCACACGGGCUACACUGGCGCCUGCAACGAGCAUAUCAGCUGGCCCGAGAGGGUCUUGGCUAAUCUUUGGAACCGGCGCCGUGCUUGGGAUUGACCAUUGCAAUUGUUGGUCAUGCAACGGGGAAUGCCUUGUAAACGCGAGUCAUCAGCUCGCAUUGAAUACGUCCCUGCCCUUUGUACACACCGCCC